RNAcentral lists this long non-coding RNA (554 nucleotides) under Junco hyemalis (dark-eyed junco). RNAcentral's name for it is "lncRNA (ENSJHYG00000007112.1)". The record is from RNAcentral. Lineage: Eukaryota; Metazoa; Chordata; Aves; Passeriformes; Passerellidae.
UGAACUUUACAGAUGGCCAACUGCUGGUACUGCUGUAUUGAUCGGUUGCUUUUAUUAAUGUGUUAAAUCUUGUGGUUGCAGCAGGAUCAUAUUUUGUGAUACAACAGCUAAUAGCUGAAGAACUCUGCCAUGAAAGUCCCAAGCAGCCCAGCCUUAGCAGGUAGCAAGGAAAGAACAGAAUGUGUACAGAAGGAAUACAGCUACAACUGAUUCCUGGAAGCACAAUAAUGCAAAUAGAGAUUUCCCCCUUCGGAGCAAAAUGCCAUGAUGCUCACAAGAGCUAUAUAGACAGAAAAUGGUGCUGAUAGAAGCAAAAGAGGAAAGUUUUCAUCAUCCAAACAACAUGGACCUAAAUAUUGGAACCUAACAUUGGAAACUAAAGGCCAAUUACUCCCUGAGGUGCAUGGGGGGCCACUUCCACUGUAAUCAGUCUUGUGAUUGUGAAGGCAGAAGAGGACCUUGACUGUCUGUAUCUGGACUUUGUCAGCCCAUUUGUUUGUGACCAUAGUUGUAUCAUUACUGUGCUUUUCAAUAAAGGGAUGUUCACUGAGGCA